CAAGUCGAACGAACCUUCGGGUUAGUGGCGGACGGGUGAGUAACGCGUGGGAAUCUGCCCUCAGGAGGGGGAUAACGGUUGGAAACGACCGCUAAUACCCCAUAUGCCGAUAGGUGAAAUGAAUUUCGCCUGAGGAUGAGCCCGCGUCUGAUUAGCUAGUUGGUAAGGUAAAGGCUUACCAAGGCUUCGAUCAGUAGCUGGUCUGAGAGGAUGAUCAGCCACACUGGGACUGAGACACGGCCCAGACUCCUACGGGAGGCAGCAGUGGGGAAUUUUCCGCAAUGGGCGAAAGCCUGACGGAGCAACGCCGCGUGAGGGACGAAGGCCUCUGGGCUGUAAACCUCUUUUCUCAAGGAAGAAGAUAUGACGGUACUUGAGGAAUAAGCCACGGCUAAUUCCGUGCCAGCAGCCGCGGUAAUACGGGAGUGGCAAGCGUUAUCCGGAAUUAUUGGGCGUAAAGCGUCCGCAGGCGGCCUUUCAAGUCUGCUGUUAAAGCGUGGAGCUUAACUCCAUUAUGGCAGUGGAAACUGAUAGGCUUGAGUAUGGUA
Molecule: ribosomal RNA, 548 nt
Filed under: uncultured Prochlorococcus sp.
Lineage: Bacteria; Bacillati; Cyanobacteriota; Cyanophyceae; Synechococcales; Prochlorococcaceae
Description: bacterial SSU rRNA
Rfam family: Bacterial small subunit ribosomal RNA
Source: RNAcentral